AUUGAACGCUGGCGGCAGGCCUAACACAUGCAAGUCGAGCGGAUGAAGGGAGCUUGCUCCUGGAUUCAGCGGCGGACGGGUGAGUAAUGCCUAGGAAUCUGCCUGGUAGUGGGGGAUAACGUCCGGAAACGGGCGCUAAUACCGCAUACGUCCUGAGGGAGAAAGUGGGGGAUCUUCGGACCUCGCGCUAUCAGAUGAGCCUAGGUCGGAUUAGCUAGUUGGUGGGGUAAAGGCCUACCAAGGCGACGAUCCGUAACUGGUCUGAGAGGAUGAUCAGUCACACUGGAACUGAGAUACGGUCCAGACUCCUACGGGAGGCAGCAGUGGGGAAUAUUGGACAAAGGGCGAAAGCCUGAUCCAGCCAUGCCGCGUGUGUGAAGAAGGUCUUCGGAUUGUAAAGCACUUUAAGUUGGGAGGAAGGGCAGUAAGUUAAUACCUUGCUGUUUUGACGUUACCAACAGAAUAAGCACCGGCUAACUUCGUG
This 484-nucleotide ribosomal RNA is filed under the name uncultured bacterium. Its description in RNAcentral is "partial 16S ribosomal RNA". It matches the Rfam family "Bacterial small subunit ribosomal RNA", at positions 30 to 507 of the family's 1533-position model. The record is from RNAcentral.